RNAcentral lists this ribosomal RNA (261 nucleotides) under uncultured archaeon. RNAcentral's name for it is "partial 16S ribosomal RNA". It matches the Rfam family "Archaeal small subunit ribosomal RNA", at positions 748 to 1008 of the family's 1478-position model. The record is from RNAcentral.
CAGCCGUAAACUAUGCGCGUUAGGUGUACUGGUGACCACGAGUCACCGGGGUGCCGAAGGGAAACCGUGAAACGUGCCGCCUGGGAAGUACGGUCGCAAGGCUGAAACUUAAAGGAAUUGGCGGGGAGCACCACAACGGGUGGAGCCUGCGGUUUAAUUGGACUCAACGCCGGAAAUACUCACCGGAUAGGACAGACAUAUGAUAGUCGGGCUGAAGACUCUACUUGAUGAUCUGAGAGGUGGUGCAUGGCGUCAGUGACU